GAUGAACGCUGGCGGCGUGCUUAACACAUGCAAGUCGAACGGUGAAAGAGAGCUUGCUCUCUGGAUCAGUGGCGAACGGGUGAGUAACACGUGAGCAAUCUGCCCCUGACUCUGGGAUAAGCGCUGGAAACGGCGUCUAAUACCGGAUACGAGCUGCGAAGGCAUCUUCAGCAGCUGGAAAGAACUUCGGUCAGGGAUGAGCUCGCGGCCUAUCAGCUAGUUGGUGAGGUAACGGCUCACCAAGGCGUCGACGGGUAGCCGGCCUGAGAGGGUGGCCGGCCACACUGGGACUGAGACACGGCCCAGACUCCUACGGGAGGCAGCAGUGGGGAAUAUUGCACAAUGGGCGAAAGCCUGAUGCAGCAACGCCGCGUGAGGGACGACGGCCUUCGGGUUGUAAACCUCUUUUAGCAGGGAAGAAGCGAAAGUGACGGUACCUGCAGAAAAAGCACCGGCUAACUACGUG
RNAcentral lists this ribosomal RNA (466 nucleotides) under uncultured bacterium. RNAcentral describes it as "partial 16S ribosomal RNA". It matches the Rfam family "Bacterial small subunit ribosomal RNA", at positions 28 to 507 of the family's 1533-position model. The record is from RNAcentral.